ACACUUGUAGGUAUAUAAUGUACAUAAAGAGGCACACCCGGCCGUAAUAAUUAUUACUCAAUUUCCUUUAUCUGACCCUAUACACGCACCACUGUAAAACUACGUUUUUAAUUAUUAUAAUAUUAUUACGAAAUUCGUACAUAUUAUACGGGUGCAAUGACGAACGACUUUGAUUGUGUACAAUUAUAAGUCAACUACGUACUUACUAUACUUACCUUAGGCUGUAACAUAAUAAUAUUACCAGCAUCCGAAGUGUGUGCCACAAAACUUGAAUUUUCAAUUUGGAACGAAUUGAGUGAGUACAAUUUUUUUUAUUAUCUAAAAGUAAGUAAGUAGAGGUGCUUCGAACAGUUUACACACGUAUUUUUCAUGCUCGUAAUCAUAAAAACUGUCCGAAAUAACGAGUGCGUUAAUUAACAAAAAAAUAAAAAUAAAAAAACACCCCAACAGACAAUGCUGUUCGUGGACGAACCGGUUUGACCUGAGGGUUGGAUGGAAACGUGUACAAUGUACCUAUACCUAUUAUUAUACAUUAUAUAUUUAUAUGCGUCCUCUGCUCUGAUAGUUAUAUUUUACCCUCAAUACUAAGUCUAGUUUCGCACACUCAUGUCGGAGUCCGACGCGGUCAUUCUGACGAUGUUCAUCUGACAGAAGAAUUCGUGUAUAUCCUGUAAAUAAAUAAAUAAAUAUGAUAGUUAGUUAAUAAUAAUAUCAUAUGUUUAAUAACAAAGCGCUUAAACGUGUGGCGGGAUUGAAGAGCAGACCUUAAAUAUUUUACCAUUGGGCUUGUAAUUGAAAGCAUGUUAUAUCAAUUUGGACAAAAUAACAGUCUGAGUUUCUUGUAGCACUAUAAUAAUCAAGUGUAUAUGUGGAUGUGCCUUGUAAAAUUGGGAAUUGUAUGUCCUGUGGAAACUUUCAGCUGCAUACCAUACAUACGUAAGUGCUAGUGAAAAUCUGACAACGUUGUACACAAUAUUUUUUUUUUAUCGUUUUUUAAGUUUUUAAGCACAUACAUUUACGUAAAAUUAGUUUUUCGACAUCAUAUCUAUAAUAUUAUAAACCUAUGAUUACUCGCUAAGUACUAUAGCUGCAGAAUUGAAAAUAUUUGACAGAGUUUUUCUUGAUAUUUCAGAUCAAAACAAAUAUAAAUAUAAAAUAUAUAACAUUAAAAUAUAUGCAAUUUUUUUUUCAACCAAGUAAAUCUCUAGACAUACACUCACUCUGCGCAAGGGCAUUUUCGAAACGUGUUGCGAUUGGCGGAAUAUUAACGUUGGGGAGAUUGAAGUAUUUUCGAAUUAUUUGUUCCCUUUUCCACCCUUGUCUUUUAAUUUCAGACGAUAGAAUGUAACUGGGCGUAAGAGAAAAAAGUUUAAUGAACACACAAAAAGGGGAAAAAGAAUAAAUAAAAAAGAACCCCCCGCGAGUUUCCGGGUCUGCAUUAUCAUUAUUAUUGAAAGCUGGCAAAAAGUUUACACUUUUCCCCCUUCUUUUUCUUUUUUAAUAAUCUUAUAAAACCCUCGAAGGGUGAUUUUAUGCUACAUAAUUAUUAUUUAUCGAAGGAGAUGUUGGUUGGAUUUCCUUCUCUCUUUUUUCUCUUUUAUCCACGCUCGUGUGAGACCCUUUAUUUUUUG
This is a long non-coding RNA of Myzus persicae (green peach aphid), 1631 nucleotides long. RefSeq lists it as uncharacterized. The transcript is spliced from 3 exons. The record is from RefSeq and is a predicted model, not a curated record. Lineage: Eukaryota; Metazoa; Arthropoda; Insecta; Hemiptera; Aphididae.